Molecule: ribosomal RNA, 204 nt
Filed under: uncultured bacterium
Lineage: Bacteria
Description: partial 16S ribosomal RNA
Rfam family: Bacterial small subunit ribosomal RNA
Source: RNAcentral
UAAUACGUAGGGGGCAAGCGUUGUCCGGAUUUAUUGGGCGUAAAGAGCGUGUAGGCGGCCAGAUAGGUCCGUUGUGAAAACUCGAGGCUCAACCUCGAGACGCCGAUGGAAACCAUUUGGCUAGAGUCCGGAAGAGGAGAGUGGAAUUCCUGGUGUAGCGGUGAAAUGCGCAGAUAUCAGGAAGAACACCCGUGGCUAAGGCGG